Molecule: non-coding RNA, 677 nt
Organism: Cuculus canorus (common cuckoo)
Lineage: Eukaryota; Metazoa; Chordata; Aves; Cuculiformes; Cuculidae
Source: the annotation of a RefSeq genome assembly
AUGACGGUAAUAAGCCCUGGAGGGUCCAUGGACCUCAUCUGGAAGGGCUCCGGCUGCACCUUCAGCAGCUUCGCGAUGUAUUGGGUCCGUCAGGAGCCCCAGAAGGGCCUCCAGUGGGUCGCGGGGAUCUACAGCAAUGGUGGUGGCACCUACUACGCGCCGUCGGUCAAGGGGCGCUUCACCAUCUCCAGGGACAACGGCCAGAGCACGGUGACGCUGCGGAUGACCAACCUGAAGGCCGAGGACACGGCCACCUACUACUGCGCCAAAGACGCUUAUGGUGGUGGUGGUGAUGGUGGUGGUGAUGGUGGUGGUGAUGGUGGUUAUGGUGGUCCCACCGGUGUCAACACUCGCGAUCCCUGGAGGGUCCAUGGACCUCAUCUGGAAGGGCUCCGGCUUCACCUUCAGCAGCUUCACGAUGUAUUGGGUCCGUCAGGAGCCCCAGAAGGGCCUCCAGUGGGUCGCGGGGAUCCACAGCAAUGGUGGUACCACCUCCUACGCGCCGUCGGUCAAGGGGCGCUUCACCAUCUCCAGGGACAACGGCCAGAGCACGGUGACGCUGCGGAUGACCAACCUGAAGGCCGAGGACACGGCCACCUACUACUGCGCCAAAGACGCUGAUGGUGGUGGUUAUGGACCACCAGAACCCCUUUGACAGUCCUCUGGGACCCUUUUAG